UUUGUUUUGGUGUAAUUAAGCACGUAAAAUUUUGAUUUUUAAAGUAGUUUACUAAACAAAA
This 61-nucleotide transfer RNA is filed under the name Parhyale hawaiensis. RNAcentral describes it as "tRNA-Gln". Lineage: Eukaryota; Metazoa; Arthropoda; Malacostraca; Amphipoda; Hyalidae. The record is from RNAcentral.